This 301-nucleotide ribosomal RNA is filed under the name uncultured bacterium. RNAcentral describes it as "partial 16S ribosomal RNA". It matches the Rfam family "Bacterial small subunit ribosomal RNA", at positions 509 to 807 of the family's 1533-position model. The record is from RNAcentral.
CAGUAGCCGCGGGAAUACGUAGGUGGCAAGCGUUGUCCGGAUUUAUUGGGCGUAAAGCGAGCGCAGGCGGUUUCUUAAGUCUGAUGUGAAAGCCCCCGGCUCAACCGGGGAGGGUCAUUGGAAACUGGGAAACUUGAGUGCAGAAGAGGAGAGUGGAAUUCCAUGUGUAGCGGUGAAAUGCGUAGAUAUAUGGAGGAACACCAGUGGCGAAGGCGGCUCUCUGGUCUGUAACUGACGCUGAGGCUCGAAAGCGUGGGGAGCAAACAGGAUUAGAUACCCCCGUAGUCCCUGUCUCUUAUAC